Molecule: ribosomal RNA, 492 nt
Filed under: uncultured bacterium
Lineage: Bacteria
Description: partial 16S ribosomal RNA
Rfam family: Bacterial small subunit ribosomal RNA
Source: RNAcentral
AGUGAACGCUGGCGGUGGGCCUAGCACAUGCAAGUCGAACGGCAGCACAGUAAGAGCUUGCUCUUACGGGUGGCGAGUGGCGGACGGGUGAGGAAUACAUCGGAAUCUACUUUUUCGUGGGGGAUAACGUAGGGAAACUUACGCUAAUACCGCAUACGGCCUACGGGUGAAAGCAGGGGAUCUUCGGACCUUGCGCGAUUGAAUGAGCCGAUGUCGGAUUAGCUAGUUGGCGGGGUAAAGGCCCACCAAGGCGACGAUCCGUAGCUGGUCUGAGAGGAUGAUCAGCCACACUGGAACUGAGACACGGUCCAGACUCCUACGGGAGGCAGCAGUGGGGAAUAUUGGACAAUGGGCGCAAGCCUGAUCCAGCCAUACCGCGUGGGUGAAGAAGGCCUUCGGGUUGUAAAGCCCUUUUGUUGGGAAAGAAAAGCAGCAGGUUAAUACCCCGCUGUUCUGACGGUACCCAAAGAAUAAGCACCGGCUAACUUCGUG